AGCUGUCCCGCCAGGGGCAUCGCUCGGUAGCGAAGUCUGGAAGAGAUAAUUGCUGAAUGCAUCUAAGCAAGAAGCUCGCCCUAAGAUAAGUUCUCCCAAUCCGCUUCGGCGGAUAAGAAGGGCAGUCGAAGACUACGACUUUGAUAGGCUGGAGGUAGAAGCACAGCAAUGUGUGAAGCUGACCAGUACUAAUCGCCCGUUCGGCUUAAUCAUAAAAC
This 218-nucleotide ribosomal RNA is filed under the name Acidobacteriota bacterium. Its description in RNAcentral is "Acidobacteria bacterium partial 23S ribosomal RNA". It matches the Rfam family "Bacterial large subunit ribosomal RNA", at positions 2719 to 2925 of the family's 2925-position model. Lineage: Bacteria; Pseudomonadati; Acidobacteriota. The record is from RNAcentral.